Molecule: transfer RNA, 88 nt
Filed under: Osteolaemus tetraspis (dwarf crocodile)
Lineage: Eukaryota; Metazoa; Chordata; Crocodylia; Crocodylidae
Description: partial tRNA-Glu
Source: RNAcentral
CAUUAUUUUCACUUGGACUUUAAACCAAGACCUAAGGCACGAAAAGCCCUCGCUGUAUUUCAACUAUAAAAACUCAAUAAUUAAAUUA